RNAcentral lists this unclassified non-coding RNA (173 nucleotides) under Colletotrichum spaethianum. RNAcentral's name for it is "Internal transcribed spacer 1". Lineage: Eukaryota; Fungi; Ascomycota; Sordariomycetes; Glomerellales; Glomerellaceae. The record is from RNAcentral.
CUGAGUUACCGCUCUAUAACCCUUUGUGAACAUACCUAACUGUUGCUUCGGCGGGCAGGGGGUCCCCUCGGGGACGCCCUCCCGGCCACGCCCUUCACGGGGCGAGGCGCCCGCCGGAGGAUACCAAACUCUAUUUUAACGACGUUUCUUCUGAGUGGCACAAGCAAAUAAUU